RNAcentral lists this unclassified non-coding RNA (21 nucleotides) under Mus musculus (house mouse). Its description in RNAcentral is "oocyte_clustered_small_RNA1743". Lineage: Eukaryota; Metazoa; Chordata; Mammalia; Rodentia; Muridae. The record is from RNAcentral.
GGACAGUAGACUUUACCUAGU